AUGCAAACGGGUCGUUGAAUUCAUCAUAGGAGCUGAAGUUGAAUUGGUUGAGGUAGUUGUGGCACGCGAAGAUACAACCACCGAAGGCUGUGUUGCUGGCUUACUAAGAAAGUUUUUGAACGGGUGCAAAUUAUCCCGUGUAAUUGGACCUCUCCUCGGCAACAUUGAGCAACUUACUCCUCCAUCAGGCUCACCCUUUUGAAUUUUAAUUUUCUUUGAAUCAUCAAUUGAAGCUUCAUGUUGGUUGCCUUCAACAUAUUCCAUUCAUGUGAAUCCAAGUGAACUCAUAUAAGCAGACGAACUCUCCAACUCAAUGGCCUUUUCAUCAUCGGCCCCUUGAGGAACUUUGGUGUGAACAUUUGCAUCUUGAGAAGGGUUAACAACAAUGCUAGCUUCAGAAUCAUCAUUUCAAGAAGAGUGCGUCUUGGCCUAAUGAUAUUGGAUUGUCUUGUAGCGAGAGGACGGUGGCGCUUCAAGGCGGCCUGAAAGUUGCGGACGAAGUUGGGGGAAGAAGGAUCUAGCUUGAUCGGAAGUGACUUUCUUCUGAACAGGUUCACUUCGUUGGAUACGAGGCCAAAGAAAUUCCUCAAUGGCUGCUAAACUAGCUAAUGGAUCAAUCAACACAACAUUGCCUGAAUAAUCCCUAAGUGACUUUUCCCCCUGGGCUCGACAAAGACGUAAUUUGAAGGGAUGGGAUAAAGCACUUAGUCCAGAGGAAAGGCGUGCACUUCCACUGGAUGACUUAGGUGAUUGACUCAGCAAAACAGGGAAACACUCCAUCGAGGACAAAGCAUUUUGAAGCUUUUGAACAAAGACAGUCAUAGGAGUUACAUCUCAUUGUAAAUAACUCAAAUCUUGCAAGUGCUUGUUUGCGAAGCUUAGGCAGGUGGGUUUCUGAGGGUUUGUCUUUAGAAAAAUACCCACAAGAUAAAUAAUUCAGCAAAGUUACGACAACACCGCUACCAAUAAAUUCAAAUGUCGAUACACCGUCUCCUUUGCCAAGUUCUCUUAUCACUUCAGAUAUGACACCAGUUAAACACUCCUCCAGACCAAAUCCAGAAGUUUUUGAUUUCCCCUUACUAUUAGUCCUUUGGUCAUCAACAUCGGCAUUUAACUUCAUGCACAGAUUUCUCAGAUGCAAAAGAUCAUCUGUAACACCCACUUCAACAGCCCCAGGAUCCGAAGGAAAGUACUGAUCUUUAAAAGUUUUUGCAGUUGCGCUAACAGAUAACCGGACACUAGAAUUUAUUGUUGGAAUAUUCGCAGAACUUGGAGGUGAACCAACAUUUACUAAAACAGGACUCUUGAUAUCAUCUAAAGGAUUUCCAUCAGGAUUGGAGUUGCCAGAGCAUCACCGAUUACGCCUAACGCGAGAUGAUGCUCCAGGUAUAAAAUCAGUAUCCUUCUCUAUAGUAGACGCUUGUGUUGAGACAUUGGUUCAAUUUCCAGGAAAAAUAAGUAGGUCCGCUGCAUGGACAACACCUUCUCUGAUAAACAUCUUAGAGAAUGUCUCGGGCAGCUUUUCCAUUAGAAUUUCAGCAAUUCAAUUUUCAAAUCAGAUGACCCUCUGCUGUCAACAUCACCAUACUGGGCUACUACAGAAAGAAGCUCCUCAUGAGACAAGACAACUGUUAUUAUAUGAGAGCUUGAUGUCCAAAUGGUUCCUGUUCUUCUAGGACGACCAUCAUUCAAGGAAUUCAGUAGAGCUUCCUCCUUGGUAAUAUUGUUUCCAUAAACGCCGAUUCAACAUAGUGCAGUUCAAGGGCUUUGGUUGUGUUUGAUGCAAUGACCAUGUCGGAUAAUCCUUGGAUAACUGAGAUCAACUAAAAAAUUUGGGGAAUGGAACUGUCGAGAAUUGUCACUCAACAAAGGCAUAAGUUUUGAAUAUGGUGAUGCAUCUGGAACUGAUUUUGGCAGAAAGGAUGUUGUAUCAAUCCCUGGCCAGCAUGGGUAAGGAUUUGGUAAGGACCUUUGUCGCUCAAGUUCCAUCCUCUGAGCCAGAAAGUAGGGGUUGUUUAUACCAUCAACUCCAGAUGGGCCCAAAUUACCAGAACUGCUUCCAAUAAAUCCUUGUAUUCCUUAUGAUAACGUGACGCUUUCAAGUGGGGGACUACUCUUGCUACCAGCCAUGAGUGACUCUAAAAACCUAUUUUCAGCUUCAUUGGCAGAAUCCAUUCUAUGCAGGGAAUUAUUUCUCAACCUCUCGACCUCACUUGGUCCAGUAUGAAUACUCACAAAGGUACUGGUACUUUGCGGAACAGGUGCCUCUGUAGUGUCAAGUUUUGUUUCCGGGAAACCAGGUGGUGGUCGGGCUUCUUGUGUUGACCCAAUGUGUCUUCAGUACACAAGGACCUGGCUGCGCAACUUGGUGAUUUUAACGACCCGGCUGCAUACGGGAAUUACUUGGGAAACUGUAAUGAAUGGAGCCAGAAAGUAGUCCCUUCUUUGUCUAGUAACCGUGGUAGCUCUUGAAUAUAUUAUGUUUUUUUUUCAAUACUUCAUCCUAAGCUCCAAUGUAUAUACAUAGAGAGAAAGAGAAAAAGCAGGGAUUAUGAUCCUUGGGGUUUUGGAGUGAGUUUGAUUUGGUCCAAACCCCAUUCUUUUUUUUUGUAAGUUUGUAAGAUAUAUGACUUGUAAUAAUUUUAAUAUUUGAUGUGAAUGAAAAAUGGGUGGCCUUGUGACAAAACAAAAUUGUUC
Molecule: long non-coding RNA, 2697 nt
Organism: Lathyrus oleraceus (garden pea)
Lineage: Eukaryota; Viridiplantae; Streptophyta; Magnoliopsida; Fabales; Fabaceae
Exons: 3
Source: RefSeq, a predicted model, not a curated record